AACGGAAAGGCCCUGCUUGCAGGGUACUCGAGUGGCGAACGGGUGAGUAACACGUGGGUGAUCUGCCCUGCACUUCGGGAUAAGCUUGGGAAACUGGGUCUAAUACCGGAUAGGACCGCACUUUAGUGUGUGUGGUGGAAAGUUUUUUCGGUGUAGGAUGAGCUCGCGGCCUAUCAGCUUGUUGGUGGGGUAAUGGCCUACCAAGGCGGCGACGGGUAGCCGGCCUGAGAGGGUGUACGGCCACAUUGGGACUGAGAUACGGCCCAGACUCCUACGGGAGGCAGCAGUGGGGAAUAUUGCACAAUG
This 306-nucleotide ribosomal RNA is filed under the name uncultured Corynebacterium sp. RNAcentral's name for it is "bacterial SSU rRNA". It matches the Rfam family "Bacterial small subunit ribosomal RNA", at positions 65 to 373 of the family's 1533-position model. Lineage: Bacteria; Bacillati; Actinomycetota; Actinomycetes; Mycobacteriales; Corynebacteriaceae. The record is from RNAcentral.